AGAGUAUCUGCAGAAUUUACGGACUUCCUGCAUUUGGAGCCACUGGACAAAGGAAUGGUUUGAUAUCUGUACUUAAAAGUUGUUCCCUCUCUUAGCCUGCAUGCUGGAUGGCUGUCCUCCCACCUCAGACUGGAACCUGUGUCUGGACAUGUCAGCUACCAGGAGUCCCUAUCCUUGACAAAAAUUUUAUGCCCUUGAUGAUUUUUGUCAGCUAGGAUGACCUCCUGGAGGGCAUCACUUCAGUGACAAGAGUGAGGAAGGAGUACAGCAGAUCCCUCUCCUCUAAAUGGAUACAGAGCACUUAAUGGCAUCCUCCGAUUUCUGCCAAUGAUGGUUACGGAGCUCCAUCUGAACUAGAAAAUCCAUCUUUCUGAAUUCUUCCCUCAAACCACAUGUUCCUGGAGACAGAGUCAUCUCUCCAGACUUGGGAUGUAACAGGUUGGCUGCUUGAAAAAAACACGUUUUUUACCAUCCGCUAGGACUUCUGUGAGAUGCCAUAACCACUGGACUGUUCCUCAAAGCAGAACUGGUGGAUAAGUAUUCUGAUGGGUCAAGCCAGGGAGCAAGGCACCCCCCCCACACACACCUCUCUGAUGCUGUGAUUCAUUUGACAGCCCCAGAAAACCCACACUUCUGUGGUUCUCUGGGGCUUUCCCACAGCAUCCAUUUCCCCCCACCUUCGAAGACUGGUACGAUACAACAGAGGACUUCAUCUGCCCAACCUGCAACUAGGUGCUGGGAAGUUGCCUACUCCCUGGCAGGAUUUAGGCCACCGCUUUCCACAACAGCCAGUCCUGCAGGGAUUUACACCCACUGGGUCCAUCUGUGUUUCUCCUGAGAUUCCCUGGAUCUGUCCAUUAGCCCCAUGGGCUUGGCGGCUGCAGAAGUUGCUGUGAAGCUCCCCUGACCUGAGGGUUAGGUGGGCAAGCAGAUGCUUGCCCUCUCCCCCUCUGGAAAUGGGAGAAGUUCCUGAUACCUUUCAAUGAAG
Molecule: long non-coding RNA, 988 nt
Filed under: Aquila chrysaetos chrysaetos
Lineage: Eukaryota; Metazoa; Chordata; Aves; Accipitriformes; Accipitridae
Description: lncRNA (ENSACCG00020006355.1)
Source: RNAcentral